This 5666-nucleotide long non-coding RNA is filed under the name Nilaparvata lugens (brown planthopper). Its description in RNAcentral is "uncharacterized LOC111051913, transcript variant X3". The record is from RNAcentral. Lineage: Eukaryota; Metazoa; Arthropoda; Insecta; Hemiptera; Delphacidae.
GUUAAAAUAUUGAUCGGUAGUUUAUUGAUCAGUUGUUGGUGAGAGCAAUAAGCAGAAGGUACUAUAGAUAAUAGAUGAUGAUGUGGGGUUUCUCAUUGUUUUACCGGUUAAAACUCAACCUUGGAAUCAUCUAUCGGACAUUUUUAUUGGCUUUGUUGAUACUCUUGUCACUCAUGACAGUUGCGUACUGUGAGGGAACCCAGGUUUUUCCGGAAAAGCCAAAUUGCAAGAGUGGCACAAGACCGGUCAAAGUUGAAGGAGGAUGGAGAUGUGUUUAAUAAAUCCAGCCUACCGUAUUUGAAACAUUAUCAAUUUUGUGUCGCUUGUGUAAAUCGCUAACCAAAAUACUUAGCAAGUUAGUGUUAAUGGGAGAUGGAGUACUAUAUUGGUGAGCAAGUAAAGGAGGGAAUUAGAGGUAGCCUACUGUAGCCUAUUUGUUUCAAUGUUCAACCGGUUUGAAUUAUAUAUUGGAUUACACUUCUGGGCCUUGACUUUGGUAAUCUCAGUAGUGAUAUUAUCAAGGGCUGAUACAACAAUAAUCAGUGGUGAUCCAUACAAUAUUUUCCCAAUGAAGCCAAAUUGCCUGAGAGGUCAAACUCCAGUCAAAGUGGAUGGAGGGUGGAGGUGUGUUAAACUGCAGACUGCUGAUGCCACAUCCAAUCUACGUAGAAGAGGAUACAAGUUCAAAUGCAGAUAUAAUACGUGUGUGUUAGAUGGUGGAGACGGUGUUAGAUGGUAUUAGUGGGCGUUUGUUGGGGGACCGGUGAGGGACUGCCCCUCCGGCAUGAUGCAUGACAAGAACGGCGUGUGCCGCCCCGUCAGCUCGAAUGCAGUCACCACCCAACCCACCCACAUCAUCAUCAUCAGACCCGAGGCUAAUACAACUCCAGUCAUCAUCACCAGGAGUCCACCGACGACCACUAUGCUCACUCCAAAACGCACCAGGCGCCCCACUUCCAGACCCAGAAUAUCGAGAGUCAGUCCACUCAGCAGCAAUGACAGUAAAAACAAUAAUCAAUAACUGAAGUAAGGCUUCAUAUGGUGACAUAAUGUGAACAUUAUUAUAUUCAUUGUUGGAAAUAUUUGUAGAGUUAAUUAUUUCAGCCUUAAACUAUAGUUGUAUUUUAAAUUUUAGUUUUUCUCACAAUCUAUAAUUAAUUUAGCGUAGUGAUUUUGUGUUUUGUUUCGGUUUUGUAUAUGUUUGGAAUUUUAUCAUCAGAAAGAGCUCUAUUUCGAAGUGGAAAGUGUAAAUUGAAGGUGUUGUGCUUAUUAGGGAACUUUGGACUAUAUACGGCGAGGUGGAACUACCCUUGGGUCUCCCCACCAUUGAAAGCCAUACGGUAAUAAUAAUAAUAAUAUGAUUUAGUAGGUACUCUUCUAUUGGUAACUUAUAAGAUUAACGACCAAACUACCCAUUAGACAUUUUGCAACAAAAAUUGAUCAUACCUCAACUUUUGAAAUUGAUCAAAAUUAUUAUUUCAAUUUCAACUCAAUACCGCAAAUCAAUGUUAAAUUAAUAAUUAAGAAUGUAUGAUGAUUAGACACAUUAUAAAGAUUUGUGAGUAUGAAUAAUUGAAUUAGAUUCUUGUCUAUAAUCUCAUCUCGAUUCAGCGUCUAAUGACUGGAUUUUCCAAAGCGAUCGUAGCAUGGAGUGGGUGAACUUAAAUAAAUUUAUGCAAUAUUUCCAAUAAUCUCCGUAAACAGCCAUUAUCAACAAGAAAAAUAAGCGUGAAUAUUAAUAUCUAAAGGAAUCAACCAAAAAAAAUUCAAUUUUGUAGAUGAAUGUAGGCCCUACAUAUAAUAAUGUAAAGAAAUGUAUGAUAUUCUGAUUCUCACCAAUUCAGAGACUUGAUGAGUUCUACAAGAUCAGUCUAAUCAGUCGAAUAAUUUAUUCGCUUUUCAGCUUUCCAAAGAAGCGCUCUGCUGUUGGUGUGAGACUAGCGUUAUAGUGAAAGGAAAAGCUUACUCGAAAUGAAAACACUCGUUGGCAUAUGAAAAAGAAGGUUGCUAGAGCAAGUAUUUUUGUUUUACAACAUUGGAGCGGAGUCGACGGGCCACUCGUUGACUGCUUCACAGGCAGACACUGUGACGAGCGCGGGGUCUAGUCGACUCCUCGGGGGCCUGUUACGGCACACCCCCUCCCAUACUCGCCCCUCUCGAAAUUUAUUUACCCCUGUCACAGUUACCACAAGAUCUCCACGACAAAUAAUGGAAUUCACCGUAGCAAAAAGUCUCUACUCCCAGAGCGACAUUGACUGCCUCCUCUGUUCUGAUCCAACUAGAGUAGCAUGAAGUCAACUCUGGCCCCAAACGGCGAAUACUGAAUCAACAGAUACAACAUAGUCUAAGCCUAUAGAUAUUUCCUGUGUCUCAAUCGCCUGAGACCACCCACAUCAGAGCAUCUCUCUUCAUCAGCUUUUUCAAUUUUUCUCUCCUACAACACAGUCUCAAGAGUGGGUAGUACAUAUUAGGAUCUAGGCCCUUCUAUGAUAAAUGAUCAAUCAUCACCAAUCGAGAAAGAGGAUACAAAAUCAUCACAAGCGAUGCUUUGAAGAUAAGAAAUAACAUGAUAUUUUAAUUUUUCAAGUCAAUGGGAGUUGAUAAAUCGGUGAUCAAGAAUUAAUUAGCUCAGUGAUAAGUUUAGAAUAUAAAUGGUUCGUGAUUUUCAUAUUGAUUCUGACAAUAAUAAGAUUUGACUUUUGUCAUUCAUUCCAUUGAUAUUAUAGAAUGAAAAUUGAUAUACUAGAAGUGAGUCUCAUUUUAUAGAUUGAAUUUGGUUUGGAAAAUUUCUGAUUGAGAGUAGUCUCAUAAAUUAAAAACUUUUGGUACCAAACAAUAAAACCUAUAAUAAUAGAACCUUUCUUCUCCUCAUUCGACCUACGACUCGUCUAUUGUUGUAUCAUGUAACUCCCAUUUCCAUUCAAUUCAUAAUAUUAUUUUCGUUGUUCUUCUGUACUUUUUCAAUAGUUUAUAAUAAUUGAUUGACCAACUUCCACCAGAUAUUCCAUCACAAGCAUUAUUAGGGCAUCAGGAGCAACAUGUUUCAAUAUCUGAUUCGGAGAAUGAGUUCAGAGCAGUCAUGGAAUACACAUAGUCCUGAAGAGAAACCUGUGUACCAUAAUUUGAGAAGCUAAAGAGAAUUCUUAUACAUUAAUGUCUCCUAACGGUUAAUUGCCUUAAGCUAUCAUGUUAUAAAUGAAUAAGUGAGUGAUUUUUUUUAUUUUAUAGAUAUUUUUCCCAUUCUUAAUAACUGUCUGUGACUCCCAGGUCGAUUUCAAAAACAUGGAUUUUUUAGUGAGUGGAAUAGCUGAAUUUUUCCAUAUUAAUACUCAAGUCAGGGUUGAGAACGUAUUUACUGAAGCUGAUUUACUGAUUGUUCCCUUUUCAAAUAUCUGCACAAAAUCCAUAUUAAAAAAGAGCAUGGUUAUGAUGAGUUUCAAUCUGUACUUUUAACCAAAGCCUACAUGAUCAGCAAUGACAAACGAUUUGCAAUGGGAGUAGGGAAGAUAUAUGAAAAGUCAGAGGAAGAAUGCGAGACAAAAAGCUCGCAGAGAGGGAGAUCGUGAGGGGAUGAGUCGUGUAGUAGGAUGUCAUGUAGGGGCGCGCUCAUAUCCAGAGCUCAGACGAAUUCAUUGUCCAACUAUUGUUUAUUUUUUCGUUGAAUAUCAGCACUGGGAUUUACGACUCCCCGAACCAUUGAGAGCUUGCUCAGCAAGUGAGUGCUGCACACACAGGUAAAAUAUUUGAAUAGGGUCCGAAAACAAACCGGCCCUAAAUUCAAAACGACUAUAAAUUCGAAGCCUUCCGUUGCCGUUUGAUGAGCCUUUAUCUGCGACCCUGCCUGACCAUCAGACGGCCGAUUGUUCCAAGACAAAGGCCGGUCAUCAAAAAAUCUAUGACUGCGGUGCCAGUGUCACAGGUCGGGUUAAAUAGUUGAUAGUGCCUCCGGCAGCUCGGCUGCACUGACCAAUGCUCGAGCCCCAGACCCCAGUUCAAUCAAACCGCACCACCCUGCUGCUGACUUCAUUCCAACUCACCACACACCUACAAUGCCAAUUAUUCCCUCUGCAUUAUCACUACUAUUCUAAUGAAUUGCUACUAGUUUCAACUGUGUUUUCCCAUACUGAAGUUUCAGUUUCCAUAGUAAUGACAUCAGUGAUCAUAACUGUGAUCAUGCACUUUAUUAGUGUUACGGCAAGGCAUUUGUUUCACUGUUGAAAAACGUAGAUAAAGUUUACUGGACCCCCUAUUUCAACAUAGGAUAUUUAUUUAUUCAUUUCACAUUCCAUAAUACACAAAACAUAUACAUGAUCAGAAAAGGACCAACAGACCUAGCCCAAAACAUUUCCCUUUCCGAUUUUGAUAGAAGUAGCCUAUGUCAAAAAAGUAGGUUAUGUUGCUUUACUUGAACAAUUCGGAACAAAUUUCGAGUCAGAAAUAUACAAACCAAAAUUUUGGAUUUGAAUGGAUUAAGAACCAAGAAUAAAUGAAAAAUCGUACUCAACCAUAACUCAAAACUUAAAAACAUUGGAUUUUUUGAAAUUUUGAAACCAAAAAUCAAAUACAAACUCACUAUUGGGAUGAAGAGAUUGAUCGUUUACUCCAUUAUUCGGAACUUUAUUCCUGUAGGACGUAGGACUACUAAUUGAUAUAGUUAUACUCUAAAACAAUAAAAUCAUAAUAUCAUGAAUGUAACUAAUUGAAGAUCACUUUUUCAAUCUAAUAUCAUAACGUAUCCUGGAAUUUGAAAAAUUAUUUGAUGAAACAACAAUGCACAUGAAAAUAUUCAAACCGUAAUUUCAGCAAUUUCUUUAUCUUGUUCUAAUCGAUUAGAAUAAGAUAAAAAACGAACUCAGGAUCUCCUUGCCCAUCUACAUACAAGCGUCACUGAAUUUUCCGACUAGGUAUUGAGAAUGAAAAAGCGAGAAAAAGGAGAAGCAAUAUUGGAAAAGGGUAGAAAUUGGCUACUCUGCUGAGAAAACGGGUGAGAGCAGACAAGAGGGAGCUGGCGAGUCGGUCAAGGAGUGAGUGAGUGGCGUAAAACUUCUCAACGAAUCCACUCAAGAAUGUACGGCACGUUGGCUUCGACUUUGCUGGCUCGGAAAUCGAAGCCCCGUCUUCAAUCAUCGCUGCCCGCAAACAAAACAUCUCACUCCCAAUCCAACUGAUGAUAGGCUCUUCAACUUAACUCACUCUGCUUGUCUAUUGAAUCUCUCUUCACCUAAUGAUCAUAAUAAAGUUUACUCAUCCAAUUACAAUUGGAGAAAUCAAUACAGCAUUCAAAAAUAUACUUGAUAACAUUGUAAGGUUUGAUUCUCGACUGCAUGAUUGUCAUUAGAUUACAAAACUACCGCGUUCUUUAAAAAUAAUGGAAAACAAAGAUAGAUAAUAUUUUCCUAUAUUAUAGAAUAUGCGUAUCGUCGAGACUGAUUUGUUAACAAAAGUAGGUCUACCAAUAUAUUUUAGAAGAUAACGGUGAUAUUGUCAAAGACUAUUAUAGAACACUCGUAUUUAUUCAAUAUUAUAGGUAAGAUAGACUUAUCCAACACAUCAUAUAAUCAGUAUAAUACUCAGUUCAAUAUUUUGUAUAAAAAUACAUUGAUGAAAAAUAUAGGCUGAGACUAUUUAAAGCCAUAGACAAGUUGCUAGCUAUACUCAAACAAAAA